Molecule: ribosomal RNA, 208 nt
Filed under: uncultured bacterium
Lineage: Bacteria
Description: partial 16S ribosomal RNA
Rfam family: Bacterial small subunit ribosomal RNA
Source: RNAcentral
UCAGAUUGCAGGCUGAAACUCGCCUGUAUGAAGUCGGAAUUGCUAGUAAUCGCGGAUCAGCAUGCCGCGGUGAAUACGUUCCCGGGCCUUGUACACACCGCCCGUCACACCAUGAGAGUUGGCAACACCCGAAGUCAGUAGCCUAACCGCAAGGGGGGCGCUGCCGAAGGUGGGGUUGAUGAUUGGGGUGAAGUCGUAACAAGGUAUC